ACGGGAGGCAGCAGUGGGGGAUAUUGCACAAUGGGGGAAACCCUGAUGCAGCGACGCCGCGUGAGUGAAGAAGUAUUUCGGUAUGUAAAGCUCUAUCAGCAGGGAAGAAAGGCCCGAAAGGGAGAUGACGGUACCUGACUAAGAAGCCCCGGCUAACUACGUGCCAGCAGCCGCGGUAAUACGUAGGGGGCAAGCGUUAUCCGGAUUUACUGGGUGUAAAGGGAGCGUAGACGGAUAGGCAAGUCUGAUGUGAAAUGCGGGGGCUCAACCCCUGAACUGCUUUGGAAACUGUCAAGCUAGAGUGCAGGAGAGGAAAGCGGAAUUCCUAGUGUAGCGGUGAAAUGCGUAGAUAUUAGGAGGAACACCAGUGGCGAAGGCGGCUUUCUGGACUGUAACUGACACUGAGGCACGAAAGCGUGGGGAGCAAACAGGAUUAGAUACCCUGGUA
RNAcentral lists this ribosomal RNA (448 nucleotides) under uncultured Lachnospiraceae bacterium. RNAcentral's name for it is "bacterial SSU rRNA". It matches the Rfam family "Bacterial small subunit ribosomal RNA", at positions 341 to 792 of the family's 1533-position model. The record is from RNAcentral. Lineage: Bacteria; Bacillati; Bacillota; Clostridia; Lachnospirales; Lachnospiraceae.